Long non-coding RNA from Phyllopteryx taeniolatus (common seadragon), 1438 nucleotides. RefSeq lists it as uncharacterized. The record is from RefSeq and is a predicted model, not a curated record. Lineage: Eukaryota; Metazoa; Chordata; Actinopteri; Syngnathiformes; Syngnathidae. The transcript is spliced from 3 exons.
CUUGCAGUUAUACAGCACGAGAGUGUGCUUGGCGCCGUCCUCCACCAUCUCCACGUCCUGUAGAUCCCGACACACUUCUCAGCACAACGAUCGGGGUUAUGCAUCCAGCAGACGUUCGACUGCCAUUGCAGUACACAGUGCAAACAAAAAAAGUUGUGCUUCGAGCAGAAGUAGGGACUGGCACAACCAUACAAGAUCCCAUUCACCGCCAUCAAAGAAUCAAAUCCAGAUGCGGGUAAAACCUUGCAAGGUUUUAUGCGGCAGGUAAUAAAAACCUGGACUAUUGAACAAACGGUAGAGGAAGAGGAUGAGGAGGAAGAAAGUGCAGGUGUGGGAGCCCCAUUUGUCCAUGCAUGUAAAUUCUGUACAUAGUUUUACUUGUAAAUCAAUUAUUUUUCUGUCAAAAGUACUUUCUCAGUGUUUUUUUAUGUUCAGAUGUUUGAGAUUUUCACUCAAGAAAAAUAGUAUUGGUGUCAAAGUAAUUGUUCUGCUUUAUCUGUUUCCUCAGGUUUUUUCCUUCAGAAACAGAUUUGGCUGAAACUAGCCUAUAUAUUUACUGCUGAUUACUAAGGAAUAGUAUAUGCUAGAGACAAAAAAAAAUUUAUGCUGAAAGAAGAAAGUCUGAUCUUCCUUUUGGUGGUUUUGGUGUUUACAUACUCAUAAUACACAAUAUUCUGUGGGGCUUCAAAAAUGAGUAAAGACUGGCACUCUGGAGGUUCCCUGCUCAGGGAACGGUUGGCAGUGAAUGAGUUAACAUGCUAACAAAGAUAAAAAGUUAGCCUUACUAGUCAACACGUUAAUAAAUACAUUUUAUUAGCUAGAGUAUAUUGGUGGAGAAUGCUCACAAAGGUAAGAUGUUAGCCAUGCUAGUGAACUUGCGAUUAAACACAAAACAUUAGCCAUGCUAGUGAAAAUGUUAAAAAACAUAUCUGUGACGUGUUAUUAGGAUUCCCACAUGGUUUUCAGGCGGGACACACCCUGCUGCAAUAUUAUUGGCUCCAGGACAUGCGCCGCUGCACUAUGAUUGGCUGCUUUAUCCCAGUACAAUAUGCCCUACUGCCUCCAGACGGGAAAAGAAGUAUGUGACUUAAGUGUGGGGGCUUUAAUACGUUUCCCACUAACACAGCCUAAUUCUAACCUUAACCCAUCCUCAACCACCGUAAACCCCAACCCUAGCCCUAAACCUAACUAUAACAAACAUUUUUUCUCUUUCGUUUUUAUUUCGCACAAAUGUGAUACAUUUUUGGAUUGGUCAUCUCGUUACAGCUGCGUAGCCUGCCCUUUCUGCGACGCAUAAGCCAAUCAUGUUGGAAAGAAGCAUGUCCUGCCUGGAAACUAUAGUAUGUGGGAAUCCUAAUCAGGUAGUAGUGACUGUUAACACUUCCUCCAUUUUGUGGUAAGGGUUAACUGACCGGAGAUUUUGAGGAUGAUGUCACAC